RNAcentral lists this long non-coding RNA (274 nucleotides) under Trifolium pratense (red clover). RNAcentral's name for it is "long non-coding RNA (TPRA_LNC005896)". Lineage: Eukaryota; Viridiplantae; Streptophyta; Magnoliopsida; Fabales; Fabaceae. The record is from RNAcentral.
AAAAAAAAUCACAAUUACACAUCUUGAGCGUCAAAAAUAAUGUGUAAAAAAUGCUACUAUGACACUGAAUUAACUCAGUUGAGAAUUAUUUCAUUAGUAUACAAAACUUUCAAUAAAUAAAAGUUGGAUUUAAUGUACUAGUAGAGUAGUAUUGAUUCCCUCCCACCCAUACUAACAAAAUUCAAUUAAACAACACUUGUUUUCUCGGUCCAGCGUAACAUUUCCGUAUGGACAAUGCAGUAGGAAGUUUCAUUUUACAAAACCUUCAACCAGU